CUACGGGUGGCUCCAGUGGGGAAUAUUGGAUAAUGGGGGAAACCCUGAUCCAGCAACGCCGCGUGUGUGAAGAAGGCCUGCGGGUUGUAAAGCACUUUCGGUUGGGAGGACUGCUUCUAGCACUAAUAUUGUUGGAAGUUGACGUUACCUUCAGAAGAAGCACCGGCUAACUCCGUGCCAGCAGCCGCGGUAAUACGGAGGGUGCAAGCCUUAAUCGGAAUUACUGGGCGUAAAGCGCGCGUAGGCGGCUAGAUCAGUCGGGUGUGAAAGCCCCGGGCUUAACCUGGGAACUGCAUCCGAUACUGUCUAGCUUGAGUACAGGAGAGGAGAGUGGAAUUCCACAUGUAGCGGUGAAAUGCGUAGAUAUGUGGAGGAACACCAAUGGCGAAGGCAGCUCUCUGGCCUGAUACUGACGCUGAGGUGCGAAAGCGUGGGGAGCAAACAGGAUUAAUACCCUGGUAGUC
Molecule: ribosomal RNA, 464 nt
Filed under: uncultured bacterium
Lineage: Bacteria
Description: partial 16S ribosomal RNA
Rfam family: Bacterial small subunit ribosomal RNA
Source: RNAcentral